RNAcentral lists this ribosomal RNA (101 nucleotides) under uncultured bacterium. RNAcentral's name for it is "partial 16S ribosomal RNA". The record is from RNAcentral.
UCUUCGGAUCGUAAAACCCUGUCGUCGGGGACGAAGGUUGCGAGUUUAAGAGAUGCGCAGCUUGACGGUACCCGGAGAGGAAGCCCCGGCUAACUCUGUGC